RNAcentral lists this long non-coding RNA (879 nucleotides) under Medicago truncatula (barrel medic). RNAcentral describes it as "long non-coding RNA (MTRU_LNC000169)". The record is from RNAcentral. Lineage: Eukaryota; Viridiplantae; Streptophyta; Magnoliopsida; Fabales; Fabaceae.
CCUUGUACAUGUUCAGAUUUUGAAUUGUUUUUUAAUAUUUUAGGUAUAUGGAACGCCUCUGUACUCAAUUGAGAAAUAUUGAUGUGUAUGGUUUCGUUGAUCCAUUUUUCAUUCACGCAGAAAAUGACCAAGAAAGUUCUCAGUCGCAUAUGACCGCAAAGAUGUUCGAGGUUAACAAAGCUGGUUAUUUUGCACCUUACCUGAAAAAGUUAGGGUAUUUGAUCUUCAUAGUAUUAUUUCUCUAUAGUUAAUCACAUAUAUUAGAAAGCCCUAAAGUUAACAAAUCUUUUUUUUUUUCUAGUGGUGCUAUAGAAGGGUAUAACAAGUUGAGUGGUGUCAGAAAGGCGAGAAAGCCAACAUGGGAGAUUCCCUCAGUAAGUUAAAAAUUAUAUUCAUACAAUAUUAUAACUUAUAUAUAUAUAUAUAUAUAUAUGCUAUUUACUCAAUAUAAUUUCAUAUUUAUGACAACUGUAGUGCCAAAGACAACCUUUCAAUUAUGAGUGUGGCUACUUUAUAAUGAUACAUAUGAUGAACAUUGUAUCAGCUGGCAUUACGACUCAUGAAAUAUGGUGUGUAACUAAAUAUUACAACCAUUUGUGUUUCUUAAUGUUUUUUAAAGUUAAUUUCAUAUUCUAAUAUGAUAUCUUAACUUUUUUUUUUUUCCAGAUUUUUGGAGACGAAACUCUGUUUACUGAUGAUGAAAUGACAAAAGUUCAAGAACGCUGUGCAAUUUUGAUUUUGGAAAGAGUUGAUGUAAUUUAAUUAUGUCAAUAACUAUGCUUUGAAACAAUGUUUAGCUUUUGUUUAAUUUUAUGAUAUUGUAACUUUGGAUUUGUUUGAUAUUGUAACAAUGACAGGUCUGAUAUGAAAUUUGCUCAU